AAUACUUUACUUUUCUUCUUCUCUCUCAAACGUUGGAAAAUGUUUUCUUCUCUUCAUUUCUGCUGCAAACCAAAACCCUAGCAGUUUUCUUCGCAUUUUUUAGUCUCCAAUAGAAAUCUUGGAUUCUUGUCCACGUUUCAAGAUUGUGGUCUUAUCUUGUGAUAUUGUAUUCAUUUUACACAUUUUUUCGAACUCGUCUUCUACAAAAUCACUUGUUAUUGUUGAUCUUCGAAAGAUUUGCUGUCGCACUAUGAACUGUGCCUUGUUAGUCAAACAGGUAGACAUUCAUACAGAUCUAUGUGUUCUUUGGUUUGUUGUAAUUCUUUCUAGUCUUAUUGCAGGUUUUCUACAUAGUUUUUUAACUAUUUUUGAAAAGCCCCAAUUUUUAGGAGUUUGUAGACGAGUGGAAAUUUCAGAAUAGGAAUUGAGUUUUAUGACCAUUUCACGUGAAGGGUUUAAAAUUUGAAAGGACCCAAUUUUCAGGACUUUAAGUGUAGACGGGUGGAAAUUUCUGAAUGGGAAUUGGAAAUAUAUAAUUUUUACAAUAUUGAAAAAAAUUAGGUGUUCAUUUUUGGCUUUGGUUUCUUAAGAUUUACUUUUUAAAAUUCCUAAAUAUGUCUUCAAUAAUUUCUUUCUAUUUUUUUGUGCCAAUUGGCCUUUUGUUGUUUUCAAUAUAUUGAAUUUCAAUCUUGUAAAUUAUUUUAAUUGUUAGUUUGUCAUUUCAUCCAUUCGUACCAGUUGAAUCUUACGUUUGUUCAUUGAUAUUGUGCAAGAUUUGACUAAUAAAGUCUAUUGGGAUCUUUGUCGUUUUCAUUUUGUGCUAGCAACGGGUAUGAGUACUUAUACUUUAAGGUUUAAUAUUACUUUAGUGUAAUUACAUGUUGCAUUACAAUGUUGCUAUUCUGUUCAAAAGAUUGUAAAUUUUUAUUAAAUGCCUCUUUAUUAUUUAUUUAUUGCUUUUUCCUUUUCUUUUUGCCUGUUUUGGUCAUUUAGUUUUAUGUUAGUGUAAAUGUCCUACUUGUAUUUAUAUCCAUGGUUAUGAAAGAGAGUGUUAUGUGGUUUAUCUACUUGUUUGGCUGUCGAGGCAAAUUAUUGAAAAUAUUGAGUUUUUAUGGUAAAGGAAGAAAUUGAUGGCAUGAAAAUUAUACUUACCUUCACAGAAGAAGAGAAACACAAAAAAUAUAAAAUAUAAAAUAUAAUAAAAAAAUUAGGAAAUCUACACUAAAUGACAAAAUUGAAGGCAUGAUAAUUAUACUUACCUUCAGCGAAGAAGACAAACGGAAACGACGUUGAAUAGUGAUGAAAUUGGAGAUCGUUGAAGGAUUUUCUUUUGGUUUCUUCAAAGGUUGCUAAAAGAAGAAACGGCGUUGUAGUCAUCGAUUGAAUACACCCCCUUAAUCUAUUUUUUUUCCUUUUGAGAUUUUGAAUAUCUUAAUGUGUGGAAUAUAUACAAAUUUCAUUCAUUAAUGUGCUGCAGUUUGUUUUCUUUGGAUUAAUUGAUCGAUUUAAUUAUAACUAAUAGUCCUCUUAGAUCAUUUUGUGUUUGAAUUCGCUAAAGUAGCCAAACCUUUAAUUUGCUUUCCUUCUUUCUUUUUUGGAUUAGUGGAAUACAUGUGUUAGAUCAUCGUGUGUUUGAAUUAACUAAAGUAACAAAACUGUUAAGUUGCUUUUUAUUUUUUCCUUUUUGGACUUGUGGAAUAUAGUGGGUUGCAUGAUUUGAUGGCUAAAUUGGGUAUUCAUUAUUGUCUACAUUUAAAAUGAAUGAAAAUAGGUGCUUAAAUGUUGUUAUAUGAAUAUAAUGAAUUAAGUUUUCUAGAAAAUGGAAUUACAUAAUAAAUGUAGAAAUGGGUUAUGAGUUAGAAGUAGCGAUACAUAAAUAGCAAAUUGAAACUCGUAAUGAAAGACUUGAUGUUAAACGAAAAAUGCAGAAGCGCUCCUUUUUGAAGUCCCCUUUAAACAAAAAUAAUCUAUGUGAGUUGUUGGCAUGGUGAAGUCUUCGAUAAUUUUUGAUUUCGAAUGCCAAAUAGGUAUGUUAUUGUUGCUUGGAACACACAUUUUCUUAAGUUAAAAUGGAAAAUGUAAAAUGAAAAGAGAAAAUGCAAAACCAAAAGAAAUUCAAGAAUCCCAACCUGCUUCUUUUGCACGUGACUAAAUAAUUGAAGGGAAAAUUAGAAAUUAAUUAUUUUUUUAUUUAACUACAUGCCUGAUGUCCAUAUAAAAUUAAAAUAGUAAAAUGAAGAAUGAAAUAUUUAAGGGACACAUAAAUCAUUUUGUUGUCUUUUUAAUUGCUGAGUAAUCAAUUAAUUGAUGCAGUUAAUAUACGUGAUUGGUAUGGGACCCAUGUACACUUAGUAUUGCACUUCCUUAUUUACUGAAAUUAAUUCUUUAUCACAUAUGCAGUAUUAGUAUUAAAUUAUACAAACUCAUUUGUUUAAUCUUUUAGGCUGUCAAUAAUCUGCAUCAUUAAAUACUAGAAAGAGCAAAUAACAUAAUGAUAUCUUUAAAAUUCCUACAUUGCUUUAGUUUGAAUGGUUAUAGUUUGUAUGUUUUAGAAAGUGCAAUUUAUGCUAUGUUAGUUAUCAUGUUUUUACAUGUUGUCAAUAGGUUAAUGUCUCAUACAAUUCUAUGUAGGCAGAUUUAUUUUGCAUAAAAGUUCAGUUUCCACAUAUGUAUGAUGUAAUAUAUGUGCUAAUAGCUUUUUUCAAUUCUUUUAGUUCUUGUUGGUAACUUUGGGCUUCAAUUAUUCGAUAAGUUAUCUAAUUGUUCUCAUGGAUGUUUCGGAAACAUGUUCUAAUGGAGUGACUGGUUCUUUGAAUUUCGAAACAAUGUCCCAUCGUCAACAAUAGAACCAAAGGCAAAGGGAUAGGCGAAAUCGACUUAGAAUUGGAUGCAAUGAUCGUCGCAAGAGGAUAAAUGAUCCCAUAUCAUCUCAAAUUAAUAAUUCCAGCAUUGAAAGAGUGCAACAAUCUAUAGUGCACCAUGAUUUUGAGGCUUCUACUUCAAACCAAGAGACACAUGAUAUUUCCAAUUUUUCAUUACGAAGUAGUUUUAAUGCACUGAACAUACCAAUGAUUUCAUAUGUAUUACAGACAUGCAAUAGCUAUAAAUAUUGUGGUGCAAGAAAAUUUUAUAAAGAAAGUAAAGGCUUCUGUUACUUAGAUGGAAAAGUUCAUCUCUGUAUUCCUGAUUCAUCAAUUGAACUGUACAACUUGUUUACUUCCAAAGAAUCUCAAUGUAUGGAAUUUAAAAAGAUUGCGAGGGG
This 3262-nucleotide long non-coding RNA is filed under the name Olea europaea (common olive). RNAcentral's name for it is "long non-coding RNA (OEUR_LNC015281)". Lineage: Eukaryota; Viridiplantae; Streptophyta; Magnoliopsida; Lamiales; Oleaceae. The record is from RNAcentral.